RNAcentral lists this ribosomal RNA (406 nucleotides) under uncultured bacterium. RNAcentral describes it as "partial 16S ribosomal RNA". It matches the Rfam family "Bacterial small subunit ribosomal RNA", at positions 30 to 526 of the family's 1533-position model. The record is from RNAcentral.
AUUGAACGCUGGCGGCAGGCCUAACACAUGCAAGUCGAACGAGUGGCGGACGGGUGAGUAAUGUCUGGGAAACUGCCCGAUGGAGGGGGAUCACUACUGGAAACGGUCGCUAAUACCGCAUACCAUCGGAUGUGCCCCGAUGGGUUUAGCUAGUAGGUGGGGUAACGGCUCACCUAGGCGACGAUCCCUAGCUGGUCUGAGAGGAUGACAAGCCACACUGGAACGGAGAAACGGUCCAGACGCCUACGGGAGGCAGAAGUGGGGAAUAUUGGACAAUGGGCGCAAGCCUGAUGCAGCCAUGCCGCGUGUAUGAAGAAGGCCUUCGGGUUGUAAAGUACUUUCAGCGAGGAGGCGUUACUCGCAGAAGAAGCACCGGCUAACUCCGUGCCAGCAGCCGCGGUAAUUC